GAUGAACGCUGGCGGCGUGCUUAACACAUGCAAGUCGAACGAAGCACUUUAACCUGAUUCUUCGGAUGCAGGUUUUUGUGACUGAGUGGCGGACGGGUGAGUAACGCGUGGGUAACCUGCCUCAUACAGGGGGAUAACAGUUAGAAAUGACUGCUAAUACCGCAUAAGACCACAGAGCCGCAUGGCUCGGUGGGAAAAACUCCGGUGGUAUGAGAUGGACCCGCGUCUGAUUAGGUAGUUGGUGGGGUAACGGCCUACCAAGCCAACGAUCAGUAGCCGACCUGAGAGGGUGACCGGCCACAUUGGGACUGAGACACGGCCCAAACUCCUACGGGAAGCAGCAGUGGGGAAUAUUGCACAAUGGGGGAAACCCUGAUGCAGCGACGCCGCGUGAGCGAAGAAGUAUUUCGGUAUGUAAAGCUCUAUCAGCAGGGAAGAAAAUGACGGUACCUGACUAAGAAGCACCGGCUAAAUACGUG
Molecule: ribosomal RNA, 479 nt
Filed under: uncultured bacterium
Lineage: Bacteria
Description: partial 16S ribosomal RNA
Rfam family: Bacterial small subunit ribosomal RNA
Source: RNAcentral